UCAGCUGCCCACCAUUCCCAGGGUCAGAGCAGUGCUGGCAGGCUGGGAUGCGGUGGGGAUGCCCAGAGGAGGUGCACCAGCAAGGGGACUCCAGGUAUUGCUGCUUUAUCCUUUGGGAUGAACUCAUCUGGGGCAUUGACUUCGAGAAACAGCAGGAGAGAUGCUCAAAACAAGCCUGUGAAGCUGAAAAUAGCACACCCCAGUUGCUGCUGCUUUCAAGAUAAAGAUGUCACCAGAGUUCUCACCCAGAAGAUGGGAAAGGAGAGGAAAAGAAAAAGGAAGAAAGAAUUAUAAUUUUGCUGCUUUCUGGAACACUAAUUCAAGAUGUGUCAGCAUGAGGUGUUGUCUGAAAGACCACACUAUAUAGGUGAGGCACGCAAAUAUCCCCAGCCCUGACAUAUGUUAUAAAAGAUGGGGCAUUUUAUCUCUCUGACUCUAUGCUGGGUUGUGCACAUUUUUGUUAGAAGCAGGUGUAUUUUUGUGUGCAUUCAGCCAUCUUUUCACCUAAUAAUGUGAAUCUCCA
This 523-nucleotide long non-coding RNA is filed under the name Anser brachyrhynchus (Pink-footed goose). Its description in RNAcentral is "lncRNA (ENSABRG00000012439.1)". Lineage: Eukaryota; Metazoa; Chordata; Aves; Anseriformes; Anatidae. The record is from RNAcentral.